RNAcentral lists this ribosomal RNA (415 nucleotides) under uncultured bacterium. RNAcentral describes it as "bacterial SSU rRNA". It matches the Rfam family "Bacterial small subunit ribosomal RNA", at positions 960 to 1392 of the family's 1533-position model. The record is from RNAcentral.
CGCGAAGAACCUUACCCACGUUUGACAUGUCUAGUAUGGUCGUCAGAGAUGACUUCCUUCAGUUCGGCUGGCUAGAACACAGGUGCUGCAUGGCUGUCGUCAGCUCGUGUUGUGAGAUGUUGGGUUAAGUCCCGCAACGAGCGCAACCCUCGCUAUUAGUUGCCAUCAGGUUAAGCUGGGCACUCUAAUGGAACUGCCGGUGGCAAGCCGGAGGAAGGUGGGGAUGACGUCAAGUCCUCAUGGCCCUUACGCGUGGGGCUACACACGUGCUACAAUGGUGGUGACAGAGGGAUAAUCCCUAAAAGCCAUCUCAGUUCGGAUUGUCCUCUGCAACUCGAGGGCAUGAAGUUGGAAUCGCUAGUAAUCGCGGAUCAGCAUGCCGCGGUGAAUACGUUCCCGGGCCUUGUACACACCG